ACUUUCAGCAAUGGAUCUCUUGGUUCUCGCAUCGAUGAAGAACGCAGUGAAAUGCGAUAACUGGUGUGAAUUGCAUCCAUGUAACUCUAAUUUACGAAUAACACCAAGUGAAUCAUCGAGUCUUUGAACGCAAUUGCGCCCUCUCGGUCGCUUCCAA
This 157-nucleotide ribosomal RNA is filed under the name Craterellus cf. tubaeformis JLF3752. RNAcentral's name for it is "5.8S ribosomal RNA". It matches the Rfam family "5.8S ribosomal RNA", at positions 2 to 131 of the family's 154-position model. From Rfam's summary of the family: 5.8S ribosomal RNA (5.8S rRNA) is a component of the large subunit of the eukaryotic ribosome. It is transcribed by RNA polymerase I as part of the 45S precursor that also contains 18S and 28S rRNA. Functionally, it is thought that 5.8S rRNA may be involved in ribosome translocation. The record is from RNAcentral. Lineage: Eukaryota; Fungi; Basidiomycota; Agaricomycetes; Cantharellales; Hydnaceae.